UACGUAGGGUGCGAGCGUUACUCGGAAUUACUGGGCGUAAAGUGUGCGCAGGCGGCCGCGCAAGUCGAGUGUGAAAGCCCCGAGCUUAACUUGGGAAUUGCGCUCGAAACUACGUGGCUGGAGUGUGGCAGAGGAAGGUGGAAUUCCAGGUGUAGCGGUGGAAUGCGCAGAUAUCAGGAGGAACACCAAUAGCGAAGGCAGCUCGCUGGGACGUUACUGACACUGAGGCGCGAAAGCGUGGGGAGCGAACAGG
RNAcentral lists this ribosomal RNA (253 nucleotides) under uncultured bacterium. RNAcentral's name for it is "partial 16S ribosomal RNA". It matches the Rfam family "Bacterial small subunit ribosomal RNA", at positions 524 to 776 of the family's 1533-position model. The record is from RNAcentral.